RNAcentral lists this ribosomal RNA (425 nucleotides) under uncultured bacterium. RNAcentral's name for it is "partial 16S ribosomal RNA". It matches the Rfam family "Bacterial small subunit ribosomal RNA", at positions 354 to 796 of the family's 1533-position model. The record is from RNAcentral.
GUGGGGAAUCUUGCGCAAUGGGCGAAAGCCUGACGCAGCCAUGCCGCGUGGAUGAUGAAGGUCUUAGGAUUGUAAAAUCCUUUCACCGGUGAAGAUAAUGACUGUAGCCGGAGAAGAAGCCCCGGCUAACUUCGUGCCAGCAGCUGCGGUAAUACGAAGGGGGCUAGCGUUGCUCGGAUUUACUGGGCGUCAAGGGCGCGUAGGCGGACAUUUAAGUCAGGGGUGAAAUCCCGGGGCUCAACCUCGGAACUGCCGUUGAUACUGGGUGUCUUGAGUAUGAGAGAGGGGUGUGGAACUCCGAGUGUAGAGGUGAAAUUCGUAGAUAUUCGGAAGAACACCAGUGGCGAAGGCGACACACUGGCUCAUUACUGACGCUGAGGCACGAAAGCGUGGGGAGCAAACAGGAUUAGAUACCCGUGUAGUCC